UGUAGCCUUACAGCAGUCUUCUGUUGCCGUUUUUUUUUUUGAGCUGGGGGCCUCGACACUGUGAGUUUAAUUAGUGUUUGUCUGUGUUUUAGUGGUUCAUGUACACCACAGAUCUCCUCUCUUCAUAUUCAGUGUCAAAGGUCAUAAUGACUGUAAACAAAGAGAUUCCAGCUUUGGCUGCUGAGGCCUUGCAGUGGCCUUAGGAAAGGUCUUUUAUUUUGUUUCAAAACAAAAAGGUUGUUUAUCUUCACUCACAGUUGUGAAAAUAGACAUUUGUAACUUGACAUUGACACAGAUCUGAGAGGCUCCUCUGUUGAAACUCUAAAAAAAAACAUUUCUGGUGAUUUCUAUGAUUAGAAACCUGAACUUUUUUUUCUUUUCCUAGAAAUAACAUCCCAACAACCUAAAUGUGUCUGGAUGAACCCAGAAUGGUAAUUGACCAUCACCACAGACUAACAUUGAAAAUAUGAGGAUGUCAACAUCCCCUCCGCCUGAAUCUGAAUGUUCUCAUGUCUGUUCUCCUUACUGUUGCUAAUCUGGGAACGUGAACAUGGAAACUCACGAGGAACAUGGAGCGUGCAUCUCAGUAUCGCCUUACAUGUAAACACAGUCGCACCGUUGGCAGGAGAGAAUAAUCAGCUUGUUGUAAAUGUGGUUGUUACUAUGUGAAAAGGACAUUUAUUGAGAACCGGAGGCGACACGAGCCCUCACCUCUCUCGAGUGACCCGCUUCAGUACUUUAAUGCCCCGCAGCAGGCAUGUCCUCCCCAGCCACAUCUGGCGGUAGGUGCUGAGCUCAUCGCUCGCGAGCAGAGGCUGGAGCUGGACAACGCUGAACGUCCCGCAGCUGUCCUGGACGAGCACGCACAGCCUGGCAGAGAGAAGCCUUGCAGCCUCCUCCUUGUGCUGCUAUUUGUGCGUUUGGCUGGUUCGACAGGCUGCUGUUGACAGACGAGACCUUGGGCCCACAAAGCUGCAAGGCAGUGAACUGCUGAUGGUGAACUCUGCUGCUCCCUGCGAGUUAUUGGCUUAACCCACUGCAGACUGGAGUCUCUGAGCAAGUCAAGCCCAGGCACAACCCUGAACAAGCCCUGAGAGUAAACAGCGGAGUUCAUAUUUCCUUGGUUAGACGAGCAAAGGACAAGGAAGGAGCGGGAGGCCUGUCCAGCAGUGCAUGUGCAUGCAUGCACACGUCCCACACACUGGGAAAGUUAUGAGGUUGUUUUCAACCACCUGAUCGGGCCGACGAAUGUUUUCUGUUACUAAACGUGGGGUCCUCUCUGUUUGUCCUGAGAGACCUGGCAAUAGAUGACUAAAUAAAAGUCCUGACGUGACUUUUGGUAGUGCAAGACAACAUUUUGACCAAGAGUUCACAUGUCAUAUCGGACACUUUUGUUAAAAAUUAACAGGCUAUAUUUGACACUUUAACCCCCAAUUAAAAAAAUAAUGCUCUCAAGUAGAUUGAUGAUCUCUAUAAGAACGUUGAUUUUUGCAUUUUGAACGAGACAAAAUGCUUUCGGCAAACUGAAAACACCAAAUGAAAAGACUUAACCCCUAACUGAUGGAUUGUACAGCACUGGGUGAAGAGGGUUGUUGGUAAAUGGCUUCUGGAGCAGACUUGUCUGUAUUUAUUGUUUGUUAUUCACAUUUCUUUAAAUGAACCACGAAUUUUCCAAAUACUAAUUUGCCAGAUUUUGCUUGAAAAACGGUGCCAACGUUCAACCAAAGUUUUACCAAUCUUUCAGCAUUAGCUGACAAAUCCCACUUCUAUUUGAGUAAAUUGCCAUAAUCCUACUGUGUUUUAAAAGAAUAAAUAAAUAAACAAUUUCUGAUGAUAAA
Oryzias latipes (Japanese medaka) is the source of this 1838-nucleotide non-coding RNA. The record is from RefSeq and is a predicted model, not a curated record. NCBI's taxonomy places the organism in Eukaryota, Metazoa, Chordata, Actinopteri, Beloniformes, Adrianichthyidae.